GACGAACGCUGGCGGCGCGCCUAACACAUGCAAGUCGAACGAGCGAGAGAGAGCUUGCUUUCUCGAGCGAGUGGCGAACGGGUGAGUAACGCGUGAGGAACCUGCCUCAAAGAGGGGGACAACAGUUGGAAACGACUGCUAAUACCGCAUAAGCCCACGGGUCGGCAUCGACCAGAGGGAAAAGGAGCAAUCCGCUUUGAGAUGGCCUCGCGUCCGAUUAGCUAGUUGGUGAGGUAACGGCCCACCAAGGCAACGAUCGGUAGCCGGACUGAGAGGUUGAACGGCCACAUUGGGACUGAGACACGGCCCAGACUCCUACGGGAGGCAGCAGUGGGGAAUAUUGCACAAUGGGGGAAACCCUGAUGCAGCGACGCCGCGUGGAGGAAGAAGGUCUUCGGAUUGUAAACUCCUGUUGUUGAGGAAGAUAAUGACGGUACUCAACAAGGAAGUGACGGCUAACUACGUGCCAGCAGCCGCGGUAAAACGUAGGUCACAAGCGUUGUCCGGAAUUACUGGGUGUAAAAGGGAGCGCAGGCGGGAAGACAAGUUGGAAGUGAAAUCCAUGGGCUCAACCCAUGAACUGCUUUCAAAACUGUUUUUCUUGAGUAGUGCAGAGGUAGGCGGAAUUCCCGGUGUAGCGGUGGAAUGCGUAGAUAUCGGGAGGAACACCAGUGGCGAAGGCGGCCUACUGGGCACCAACUGACGCUGAGGCUCGAAAGUGUGGGUAGCAAACAGGAUUAGAUACCCUGGUAGUCCACACCGUAAACGAUGAUUACUAGGUGUUGGAGGAUUGACCCCUUCAGUGCCGCAGUUAACACAAUAAGUAAUCCACCUGGGGAGUACGACCGCAAGGUUGAAACUCAAAGGAAUUGACGGGGGCCCGCACAAGCAGUGGAGUAUGUGGUUUAAUUCGACGCAACGCGAAGAACCUUACCAAGUCUUGACAUCCUGCGACGGUGCUGGAAACAGUAUUUUCCUUCGGGACGCAGAGACAGGUGGUGCAUGGUUGUCGUCAGCUCGUGUCGUGAGAUGUUGGGUUAAGUCCCGCAACGAGCGCAACCCUUAUGGUCAGUUACUACGCAAGAGGACUCUGGCCAGACUGCCGUUGACAAAACGGAGGAAGGUGGGGAUGACGUCAAAUCAUCAUGCCCUUUAUGACUUGGGCUACACACGUACUACAAUGGCGUUAAACAAAGAGAAGCAAGACCGCGAGGUGGAGCAAAACUCAGAAACAACGUCCCAGUUCGGACUGCAGGCUGCAACUCGCCUGCACGAAGUCGGAAUUGCUAGUAAUCGUGGAUCAGCAUGCCACGGUGAAUACGUUCCCGGGCCUU
RNAcentral lists this ribosomal RNA (1334 nucleotides) under uncultured bacterium. Its description in RNAcentral is "bacterial SSU rRNA". It matches the Rfam family "Bacterial small subunit ribosomal RNA", at positions 28 to 1382 of the family's 1533-position model. The record is from RNAcentral.